UUCUACAAUGGAAAAUUUGUUCAAUAGAUUAUCCAGGCCCCUGUUGGCUUUUCUUAAAGUUAUUUUAUUGGGUUCCCAUAGCUACCACCCUUCCAGCCCUUACUCCCCCAACACUAGGUAGGAGAGAAAGUUAGAGUGGAAAUGGGGGUACAGACUUCUUUAGGCUACUUCUGCUGAUUAGGGGCAUGGAGUACCCAGGGACAAUUACAAACUUCAGCAGUCCAGCAAUCCUACAAGCCAGCAAAUGCAACAGCAAAUGCAGGAGCAGAAACCAGCAGGAACCAGCAGGAACCAGCAGGAACCAGCAGGAACCAGCAGGAACCAGCAAGGGGAGCAGCAGCCACCAUAGGUCCUCUGUCUCCAGCAUUUAUACCUUCUCCAGAGUCCCCAGAAUUAAACUACCUGCAGCUGGCAAAGAUCACACCCCUGCUAAUGUACGAGACAAUCACAGUCACCUGCUAUGAAGCAGCCUCUUAUCCCACACCUGGGAAUAAAACAAAAACAUAUCCACAUAGCACAAUUGAGUUUUUAAAGAAACCAAAUUCGGACUACAGUUCCCUCCAUUGCAAAGGAUGCGUGAGUGUGACAUCAUGGCUGGGGUCCUUUGGAAAAGUGAGCCGUGGACUUGGUAUUCAGCCAACAAUAGAUGUCUGAGCCACUGGAAUCAGAAGCUUCAGAUAAGAUGAAGCUCGGUAGUCCUCAGACACUGACGGAGCAGCAGGUGACUCGGGUCACCUGGACCUUACGGGGCUGAGGUCACCACAUCAAACCUCUCAGCAUUUCCUUUCUAGAAUAUAAGGAGUCUUCCCCUUAUACCCGGAGAAAUGUGUUCCAACCCAUUGCUUGUUUCUGAAAAGAAAAUGUGACACUGUGAGAUUUUUAAUAUUUUUAGAUUUUUAAUUAUAUGUGGAUGAUUACACAGGAGCCGUGGUGCUUGUGUGGGGGUCAGAGGACAACUUGUGGGAGUUGUCUCCCUUCCACCAUGAGACUCUGGAACUGAACUAAGGUGGUCACUGUUGGCAACAAGUCGUUUUACUUUGCUGAGCCAUCUUGGCUGGCCUGAGUAUGAGGGUUGCAUUGAGGUUUUGUUUUGUUUUAGCUUUUUACUGAUUCUUUGCGAAUUUCACAUCAUGCACCCCAGUCUCACUCAUCUCCCCUUUCCUCUGUAUCUGCCCUUCACCCUUGCAACCUCUCCCACCAAGAAAAUAUACAUAAAUAAACAAACCACCCUUCCAUGGACGCUGCAGUAUGUCACAGUGUGUCCGUGUGUCACACAGUACACCCCUUUGCCCAAACAACUUUACCUGCAAAUGUUCCUUGCAAUGAGUCUGGUUCAAGGGUCCUGGCUUCUGCUACACUAUCAAUACCAGUUCCUUACCAGGGUUCCUCUCAGAUAUCCUGCUAAUGCCCUGCUUCAUGGAGAUCCUAAAGCUUUGGAUCUGCAGGACUGGCCCCUUCACAUGCUCAAGCAGUUCAUAGAUGGAGUAGGUGUUGGGGUGGACCAACACAAAACCCUGGAUCUGAGCAUGGGUGGUAGCUGCCCUCUAGCUCUUCCUCACUCAUGUCACUGGGACAAGAGCUCUAAUGCUGCCCCAGUGGGGGGAACCUAGCCAGAGGGGAAGGGGCCUGUUUUCCUGUUCUCACAUCCUUGGGGCUGGCUUUUCUGUGCUUCCCAGGCAAAGUGUGGGGCCAGUCUCCCAAGUGCUGUAGCCAGUGAUUGACAAGAGAUGCAGCCAGCUCUCCUGUCUGCCUCUGGGACAGCAAGGGGGUGGGGACAUCUCUUCUACUCGCUUGCCACUGCAUGGCCAGCCAGCUCUCCCAUGCUCAUGUCCCCAGGGGCAGCUUUCCCCGAUGCACGAUCCCCAUCGCCAGGGCCAGCUCUACUGUGCUGCCCAGGUAAGGAAUGGGAUCAGCUCUCCUGAGUGCCUUAGGUAGUGAGGCAUGCAAAGCCCGCAUUUACCUGAGAUGUCCAUAUGGCCUUUGGUGUAACAUGGGCCACAGACAUCUACACAGACCCUGAUGUUACUGGGUCAUGGUGUCAGACAGAGUGGCAGCACAGGCCAGGACUUCACCAUGGCCUCAGGUGCUUGGGCAGGCCACUCACAGCAGGCUGAUCCUAUUCACUCUCAAGUCUCCAGCUCUGCUCUUCAUUGUGCUCAAACUGCCCUGCUUCUCUUCCUCUCCCAUCUCUCCACUAUAUAGUGCCUCACUGUAGUGGUGUCUCCGCCCUUACCACGUGGUGGCAGGCCUCUGGGUGUUCUGGGCCUGCCUUGGCAGUGUGGCAGUAGGUGGGCCUUUCUAGAAGGGGUUUAAAGCUAUAUAUUUACAGUUAAAGACCACGUAUUUCCCUGAUAACUGCAGAUGUUAUUUUCUAUUCUUUAUUAAGAUUUUUUAAAAAAAUGUAGCUGCUCACUCUCUGGAUUCUGACAUGUCCCUUCUCUUUUGAGGCAAGCUUGGCCUCCAUAUUACUAGGUGGCCAAAGAUGAAUUAUUAGUGUCCUAGUGCUGAGAUUAUAGGCCUACUCCACCACACCCACUUCCUGUGAUGUUGGGGACUGAAUACUUUUGGGGUUAGAUGCCCAAAGAAAGGGACCUUUUUUUCUAAGAGAGGUAGAUUCUGAAACAAUAACCACCCCUUGUGAUAAAAUUUUAAGUUUCCAUAAAACAGCAUUUAGAAAAGCAGCAUCACCUCUAGAAUACUUGUGACAAGUGUCUCCCCAAUACCAUUACUGUGAAGUAUUUCCUUCAGGCUCCCGAAAGUGUGACUUGCUCUGAAUUCGCUACUUUAAGGUGACACUCAUAUGUUCAGCCUCUCAAAGCGUGGUUUUCAAGGCUCUGCCAGAUGGUCCCUUCAGAAUAAAUGCAUUCCACAUGAUAAUGUUUAUAUUUGUGUUUCUGGCAUGAAUUAAUACUCUUCUCGUGAUAUUUAAUAAAAACCAGAUUAUUUCAUUUCUGUCUCAUGAAACACAGUACCUUUCCAUUCUGUCUGGUGAAGGUUAUUUGUCUUCUGUUGGUGAAGGGGCAGCCAGUGCGGGCUCUCCGGAGGAUGAAGCCCUUUCUCUUCAGCCGGAGCGGCAUGUAGCCAAGAAUGAUUUGAGAUUCAUCUCUCUCCAUGAAGACUGCGUUAGCCUCAGUGAGUGUGGCAAGAGGCCAGGGAGCCACCAUGGACAUCCUUUUAGCUCCUAGACUUUCCUUCUAGCUAAUAUUCUGGGCACAGAGGCUGUGUCUGGAGUCUAGAGGUAUUCAUCCUGUUUGCAGAAAAACGAUCACAUUCCCAGCAAAGCCUCUACUUUUUCAGCCUGGAAUUCUUCUAAUUGCAGCCACGGCAGGAGGCAACUCCCUCCCCUUUGACUUCUGUUUUGUCUUUCUAUGGAUUUUUUGCAUGUAGGAGGAAUGGUACUGAGUUCCAGCCAUGCAGCCUGCUCUGUUUCUUGAGACGUCUUUGGCUGAUGAACACUGGUUCUGGCAAUGAAAACUGAGAACUAAUGGAUCCCUAGGGGACAGGGCCAUUGGCUUUCCUCCUCCUGUGCUGCCUGUCGACAUGAACACCUGAUGUGUUGUCCAGUUUGAAAUCCAACUCUCUAUGGGUUAGAAAUGGAAGACCUACAGCUUCAGAAAGAAGUAGCUGAGGGUCUUGGUGGAUCACUCAGUCUGUGAACAGGGCAAGCGGGGCUUCUGAGGUGUCUGGGGGGAAUCAUCACAUAUCCCGAAACCCAGGCCAUUUGCCUACUUGGCUAAUUGUUAUGCUUCACAAAACGAAGCCCGUUUGUGAGAAGGCCUCUUUUAUUCUGAGGGAACUUUAGUUGUUAGGAAGUGUCUGAAGCAUUUGCAGUUGAUGCUUCUUUGAGAGCAGCCUGCACCUCUAUGGGGAUUACUCCUUUACCUUGGGAUUCCACUCACAGGUUCUGAGCAGCCCUUGGGAAAGGUUUGGUUUGACAGUCUCUGUCUGCUGGAAGUAUAGCUGAAAUUCCACCCUCUUCUGUGUACCCUGAGCGACUCCUGGACGUCCUUCCUCACCAUGGACUGAGCACACUGAGGGGCCCACCGAGGUGUCCCUUUCCCUUCAAACUGAUCACAGUACCCACCUGUACUCAGAACUGUGGCGGGUACUCAUCAAACCUAAGCAUCCCCACUCCACCCUGCUCCAAUCCCCUCCCCAGGAACCAGGGCCUCUGAUAAAUGGUCAGGUAUUAAUGGUGGUAGGCACGAAGCAAGCCAUUGAACACAAAUACGUUACAGAACUCGCGGCCAUGAGGUCAGGCGUAUUUAUGGCACAACAUACCUAUGCAUCUAUGUUUGGUUAUCAGAAGAGUGGCUGGCUUGGGGGCAGCCAGUCCGUAGAUGAAGAUGCCUUCUGUCCUGAACACUCUGCUCUUAGACCACUCCUUAAAUCUACUGGAAGCCCAUUUCAUAGGAAAUGAUUUCCAAGUUGAUGUGUGUUUUCUGUACACUGCAGGGUAUUCUCAAUUACAGGGAAGAUAUGCAGCAGCUACUGUGCCUAGGAAAAACAAAGCAAAACAAGAAUGUGUGCAGCAAACGGGAAGGCACUUGGGCUGGGAAUGCUAAGGACAGAGCACACUUGCUUUAUUAUUUUCCAGAAAGGCUUGGGGAUCCUUAAACAAACCUGAUAAUUGGGUCGCUAAAAGGAUGUUGCACCUGUAAACUGUUAUUGAGUAAAAAUGAAGAUGGAAAUAGUGAUUAGUUGAUGAUUCGUUUACACAAUGGCUUUUUCUGUGGAAUUACAAUUAAAGAAUAUAUUGGAUCACUUUAAAUGUUAGACUGAAGUGGCACACAAUUUUUUUAAAUAAGCAAAGGACUUUAUAUUCAUAAGCAUACAAGUUGCGAGCCAGUCCAGACAUUCUCAUCUAUUGUUUUAUGUUUUUAUCAAUUGCUCUGGAUUCACAGGCAGAGAUGGAACUUUAAGAUGAAUUUAAAAAAAUAUUUUUUAGUAGUUGCUAUGGUCUUCAUUUCCCAUUUUUGGUCUCAGGUAAUUUCUUGGGUACCUUCCCUUGAUUGACAAACCAUGGCUCCUUGCACUUGUAUAUGCUAUAUUUAGCUUGCAGACUAGACUAUUCCCCCUCAUUAAAAUCUCCUGGUUGCUGAACUUCAUUAAGACAAAUGGAUUCAUCUGUAUUUUCACUCCCUUUGGCUAUGAGGUCAAUACAUGAUGUCAGCAGGAAAGGGUAAGGAUGCUGAGCGCUCUGAAACACUUCUAGAGAAGCUCAGAGAGGAGCCAGCUGCCACGGCCCUGCCAGGAGCAUUAUGCUCUCGGCUUUAAGAAACAUUUGCGACUUGCACGGUAGCCGUGUGCAUUAAUAGCCUCAGCUGUUCAAGACCUGCACUCUGCAACAGUUAUCACUGGCACUGGACCCUGUACUCAGAGAACAUGGGAUCCAGCAGAAAGACAACAGAACAAGGAAAGAUGAAUGAACGCUGAGCCCACAAGUAGGCAAGGAUGGCAACCAAGAAAGAAAUAGAAGCCAGAGUAUAGCCAACCUUUUUUUUUCUUUUAAUUAGAGUAUAUUAUACUUCAAACUUGAUACACUAGAAAUUGGCAAUGCAACGUAAGAUGCAGAGGAAAAUACCAGUUACUGUCAAAAUGACCCUGUACAGCCUUGUAAUGCAAAAGCUUUUUACAAUACAAAUUUUCAGUAAUGUACACAAACCUUGACAGUAUGAGCGUCUGAACAUAAUAUGAGGAGUUAAAAAAAAAGAAAGAAAGAAAGAAAGAAAGAAAGAGAGAGAGAAAGAAAAGAAAGGACAGGAGAGAGAAAGUGCUUAGAACCCUACCUGCAUCACUAAAUGGAAAGCAAGCCAGCUCUCCUGGGAGAACACAUAGUGAGAACCCAAAGUUGCUAGGCGACUUUCUCAAAGGUGUUAGUGUUUCCAUGGGAAGGAAAUCUACAGAACGCAUCCUUCCCUGAGCAUCAAACUGCAAACCAGAUUCGGGGGCACAUUUUAUCUAGGUGGACUCUGAAAAAUGCUGUAGAUUUUCUUUUUUUUUAUUAAUAACAACAACAAUAAUAUAAAAAGUCAAACAAACUGCAAACACACGUUUUCUCACUCAGAAAACUUUUUAUAAUUUACCAGAAAGAUUGGUGACUCUUUCCAAAGUGCUAAAAAAGUUGCCCAAUUACAUUAAGCAUUACUAAGUCAUUCAAAUACAGGUUCAGUGGCAAGCAAUGAAAUGCACGGCAUUUGAGCAGUAAGCGUCUCCGCCCACCUCCCCUCUCGCACGGUCCCACCAGAAGACCUCUUAUUGCACAAGUGACAUGCUGUAAAACCUAGGGUCCUCGUGGUCAGGGACACCCAUUCAGGUUCUUAACCUGCUGGUGCUUCUGUGAGUCACCUUUCUGCCAGCCUCUUGGGGGUGGGGGUGGGGUCACUGCAGUUCCCUCUCCCUUAUCACUGAACCUGCAGUUUUGAAAACAUUAUUAGCCAAAUGGCACAUUCUCCAUUAAAUGGGGAUAAAGACAUAACUUUAAAA
Molecule: long non-coding RNA, 6486 nt
Organism: Mus musculus (house mouse)
Lineage: Eukaryota; Metazoa; Chordata; Mammalia; Rodentia; Muridae
Product: predicted gene, 30271
Exons: 2
Source: RefSeq, a predicted model, not a curated record